GGAUAACCCUGAUUUCCAUAUGCAGAUUUAUCUGCACUGACAGCCCCCUCUCCCUCUCUUAGUCUUUCUGUUUCCUCUCUCCCUCCCUCUCUCUCCCUCUUUCUCUUCCCCUCUCUUUCUCUUCCUCUCUGUCUUUUUGUCUCUCUUUAUGUCUAUUGCAUUAUGCUUGAAUAAUUUUCAGCUGGGGUUUUUUUUUUCUCUCCUCUUGCACAUGCUAAAAUAACUAGACAAAGAUGCAAGGUGGUUGCUGCAGUCCCUGUCUCUAGGACAAAACCAAGAAAGCUCGGGUUUGCAAUGCCACCUUUCCUUUUUUUUUUUUUUUCUUUCUUUUUUUUUUCCCCCACCCAUGCUCGGUGAUUAAACUUACCCAGGAUGGGGAAGAAAAAGGAGCUGGAAAUGAGAUAAGGUUAAGGAAAAAGCCCAUUGCAGCAGCUGCAGCCAGUGGUGUCUGCUGCCAGAUGUGCUAAGGUUCCUGGGGUCCUUGACACUAAAAGGCAGUAUUAAAAUAUUUGGAGACAAAAGCUGCAUCUUCAGUGCUCAUUUUCUUUAUUUAACAUGGCAGCAAGCACCGUGUGGGGGAAAAUCAACACGCUGGAUGUUGAAUUGGACUUUUCUCCGUUCUAGGAUGAAAGGAUGUUAUCUAUCCCGUGCCAAGAGGGAACUAAGGUGCAGGGGGAGGGGAAGAAAGUCUUCCAAACUAGCCCGCCAUGGUGAAACGGGUGAAUAUCAGACAGCUCAUUAUAGAGACAAGCAUGCUGCAUUCCCCGAGUAGGAUGACAGAACAAGUCAUGGGAUCUGGGAAACAUCCUGCCUCCCCUAGGCCCAGGGGCCGUGGAAGAGCAGCAUCACCAGUGUCCAUGGGCAGGAUGAACAAACUGGCUGUGCUCCUUGCAGUUGCUCCUACUGCUGAAGAGGAAACUGUAUCUGAGCUUUUUCACUCGCUCUCUGGUCCCUGUGCUGAAGCUGCUUCAAACAGCUGUCUGUGUAUGUGCUCCACAAUUUGGGCACUAUUUUUGGAGUCUUAUGUGCCUUGGAAUGAAAUGUCCCUGUUCUGCUCAGCUCCCAAAGGCAUUCCCAUUGAGAGCAAAAGAGAUGUCACCUGUGGGCCCUCCUGCCUUUUGCUGAGGAAUCAAAGUCAACCACCUCCUGCAACAGCCCAUGGGGCAGGUAUGCCAUCAUUCCCCGUGCACUGUCAGGUACCAGCACCCAACAAAUAUGACUCCAACACAGCCAGAUGACAGGGUCUGCAGAGGUCUUCUGAUCUGAAUGGGAGAGUGCAUUUUACUUCAUCUGUAUGUGCUUGGAGAAUAACACAUCAAAAUUCUUCUUGAAAAGUAUGGCCAAGUUAGGUCUGUCCACGGUUCCCCACUAUGCUCUUUCCAGUGUAUGGAUCAACAUCAAAUGCAUUGUAGUUUUGGCAAAUAAUUUCUCCCACUCUUCCCUUUCUCUUCCCCCUCCCCUCCCAGCUGACACACAGUGACUAUAGGGGGCAAUGCAACCUCAUCAUACAGCCUGUGUACAUCAGCUACAUACCACAUUAAUAGGCGGAAACUUUAAAGUCUUCGUUUUUACUUCUUGCUUUUGAGCAAUUUGUACCAUGGUAAGCUGUAUUGUUAUUUGGGCCCCAUAAAAUGAGACAUUUUAACUUCAGAUAAGCUUUUACCAGUUACAUUUUUUUGAUUGUUUGUAAAUGAAAGUUAAUAAAGAGUGAUUUCAUUUCA
Long non-coding RNA from Calidris pygmaea (Spoon-billed sandpiper), 1721 nucleotides. Lineage: Eukaryota; Metazoa; Chordata; Aves; Charadriiformes; Scolopacidae. The record is from Ensembl.